CCGAGAUCGCGCCACUGCACUCCAGCCUGGGUGACAGAGUGAGACUCCGUCUCAAAAAAAAAAAAAAAAAAAAAAAAUAGAGGGAAUGGAUUAUUUCUAUGAGAAAUGGAACGCCAUUGAAUAAUUUUAUGCUGGGGGGUGACAGGAUCUUAUUUUCAAUUUUUAAGAGAUUGUUCUGGCAUCUGUGAGAAGGAUAGGCUCUAAGGCAGCAGGUGCAGAGGAAGUGGAGCAGAGACUCUUGCAAUAAUCCAGAUGAGAGAUGACAGUGGUUUGGGCCAAGGUGGUCAGAAAUAGCCAAAUUCUGGCCAGGUGUGAGCCACCGCGUCCUACCGGGAGGUGGUUGUUAAUUGGACUAGGUUUGGUUCAGUUCAGGAAAGCCUUCAUCACCAGGCUAAAGAAUCUGGACUCAAUACCCAAAGACAAUGGGGACCAUCGAAGAUUGUUGAACACGAGGAGUUCAUCAUCUGAGAAGCGUUUUAGCAAAAUUAAGCUGAGCAAGCAGCAGUGAGAAGGAGGAUGUUUUGAAGAGGAGGUAAACUGAAGGUGGGACAGGGAAACGAACUAGUCAUUGCAAGGACAGUUAAGAAGUUGUUGCAAGGCCAGGCACGGUGGCUCAUGCCUAUAAUCUCAGCACUUUGGGAGGCUGAAGCGGGAGGCUCACUUGCACCCAGGAGUUCAGAAUCAGCCUGGGCAACAUGGCAAAAUUCUGUCCCUACAAAAAAUACAAAAAAGGCCGGGCGCAGUGGCUCAAGCCUGUAAUCCCAGCACUUUGGGAGGCGGAGGCAGGCGGAUCACCUGAGGUCAGGAGUUCGAGACCAGCCUGACCAAUAUGGAGAAACCCCAUCUCUACUAAAAACACAAAAUUAGCCGGGCGCGGUGGUG
This 882-nucleotide long non-coding RNA is filed under the name Homo sapiens (human). RNAcentral's name for it is "non-protein coding lnc-CDH3-3:1". Lineage: Eukaryota; Metazoa; Chordata; Mammalia; Primates; Hominidae. The record is from RNAcentral.